ACCAUUGUGGUAUAGUGGUUUGAGUAUUGGACUAUGACUCUGAAGACCAGGGUUUGAAUCCCUGCUCAGCCA
Non-coding RNA from Phrynosoma platyrhinos (Desert horned lizard), 72 nucleotides. NCBI's taxonomy places the organism in Eukaryota, Metazoa, Chordata, Lepidosauria, Squamata, Phrynosomatidae. The record is from the annotation of a GenBank genome assembly.